UACGAAGGGGGCUAGCGUUGCUCGGAAUCACUGGGCGUAAAGCGCACGUAGGCGGCUUUCUAAGUCAGGGGUGAAAUCCUGGAGCUCAACUCCAGAACUGCCUUUGAUACUGGAAAGCUUGAGUUCGGGAGAGGUGAGUGGAACUGCGAGUGUAGAGGUGAAAUUCGUAGAUAUUCGCAAGAACACCAGUGGCGAAGGCGGCUCACUGGCCCGAUACUGACGCUGAGGUGCGAAAGCGUGGGGAGCGAACCGG
RNAcentral lists this ribosomal RNA (253 nucleotides) under uncultured bacterium. RNAcentral describes it as "partial 16S ribosomal RNA". It matches the Rfam family "Bacterial small subunit ribosomal RNA", at positions 524 to 776 of the family's 1533-position model. The record is from RNAcentral.